This 588-nucleotide ribosomal RNA is filed under the name Lachancea fermentati. Its description in RNAcentral is "eukaryotic LSU rRNA". It matches the Rfam family "Eukaryotic large subunit ribosomal RNA", at positions 65 to 668 of the family's 3401-position model. The record is from RNAcentral. Lineage: Eukaryota; Fungi; Ascomycota; Saccharomycetes; Saccharomycetales; Saccharomycetaceae.
CCACCGGUGGGAUUGCUUAGUAACGGCGAGUGAAGCGGCAAAAGCUCAAAUUUGAAAUCUGGCACCUUCGGUGUCCGAGUUGUAAUUUGAAGAAGCAACUUUGGUGCUGGUCCUUGUCUAUGUUCCUUGGAACAGGACGUCAUAGAGGGUGAGAAUCCCGUGUGGCGAGGAUCCCAGUGCUAUGUAAAGUGCUUUCGACGAGUCGAGUUGUUUGGGAAUGCAGCUCUAAGUGGGUGGUAAAUUCCAUCUAAAGCUAAAUAUUGGCGAGAGACCGAUAGCGAACAAGUACAGUGAUGGAAAGAUGAAAAGAACUUUGAAAAGAGAGUGAAAAAGUACGUGAAAUUGUUGAAAGGGAAGGGCAUUUGAUCAGACAUGGUGUUUUGCGACCCUCGCUCCUUGUGGGUGGGGAUCUCGCAGCUCACUGGGCCAACAUCGGUUUUGGCGGCAGGAUAAAACUUUGGGAAUGUAGCUUGUCUUCGGAGAAGUAUUAUAGCCCAAGGCAAUACUGCCAGCCGGGACCGAGGACUGCGACUUUGUCAAGGAUGUUGGCAUAAUGGUUAUAUGCCGCCCGUCUUGAAACACGGACCA